Molecule: non-coding RNA, 1112 nt
Organism: Podarcis muralis (Common wall lizard)
Lineage: Eukaryota; Metazoa; Chordata; Lepidosauria; Squamata; Lacertidae
Source: RefSeq, a predicted model, not a curated record
UAAUUAAUUAAAUUGACCAGGUGACUGUUCUCCUUUCGAAAGAGGCAGGUGGAAUCUCCACGAUUGCUAAUAGCAUAACAUUGAAAGGCUAGUGAAAUAUGGGGAGCCCUAGAGCAUCUGCUUGGCAUGCAGAAUGUCCCAUUGUCAGCCCCUGGCAUCUCCUGCAAGGGCUGGACGAAAUCCCUGCCUGAAACUCUGGGGAGCUGCCAGUCAGUGAAGACCAGGGGUCCUCGUACUAUGUCCCGUGGGCUGAAUCCAGCCCUCCAGGGUCGUGAAUCUGGCCUGCAUGGCCAUUUCAGAACCCACCAAGUGUCCGAGGCUGAAAGCAUCUCGCCGCCCGCUCAGUCAGUCCCUGCGCAGCACUGAGGUAAACGCUACCGGCGUGGUGGCAGCUCUACCAAUGAAAGGCCAGGGGAUUUCGCCCGGGGACGGGGAAGUGAGGCGUUCCCAAAGUAAAGGAAGGAUUCAACUCUGAUUAACAAGAAUACACACAGAGGCUUGAACCAGCAAGACUCUGGGAAGGCAAUCCCACCUGAUCACUACAGGAAGUGUUGUCUUUGGGCUUGAAGAGCGAAGCUGAGGUUGACGGAAGAAGGCAGACUUUGGUCGAUUCGGUUUUGUUACAUAGACGUUUACUUUACAGCUGCUGGAAGAAGAUCAGCUGUACCUGCCGGAGGUGAUUCACAACUGCCAGGCAGCUCAGCUCAGGGGGCUCUGAGGACAUCCUGGACCUCAGAUGUUACGCCCUUUGGGAAAGUGGGGAGGAACAGAAACCAGCAGUCAACAGCAUCCCUUCUCUGCUGGCCUUUGCCCGAAGGUUCCCCCAUCUCACAGCAAGUAGCUCUCCCUCAUGGAUUCAGUCCUUUCAUCACUUCCAUCUCCCCAAGAGUCUCCCAAGGCUACUCAUCCUCUGCAGUUGAUAACAGACCUGACUGAAAAGAACGGCUUCCUCUUCUGGUGACACCAGAGAAUUCUAGAAUACAUUCACCCUUUCCAUAGCAUUAUGGAUGCACGAUUCCCACAGACAAGUUUCUUGGCAAGACAAGGGCCUUCUCUGGCCACUUGAGUGUCCUCCUCAGCAUCUCCAAAGAAGGAGCUGGGUUGCAAGAACU